UAGAGCACUGUUUCGGCUAGGGGGCCAUCCCGGCUUACCAACCCGAUGCAAACUGCGAAUACCGGAGAAUGUUAUCACGGGAGACACACGGCGGGUGCUAACGUCCGUCGUGAAGAGGGAAACAACCCAGACCGCCAGCUAAGGUCCCAAAGUCAUGGUUAAGUGGGAAACGAUGUGGGAAGGCCCAGACAGCCAGGAUGUUGGCUUAGAAGCAGCCAUCAUUUAAAGAAAGCGUAAUAGCUCACUGGUCGAGUCGGCCUGCGCGGAAGAUGUAACGGGGCUAAACCAUGCACCGAAGCUGCGGCAGCGACACUCAGGUGUUGUUGGGUAGGGGAGCGUUCUGUAAGCCUGUGAAGGUGUGUCGUGAGGCAUGCUGGAGGUAUCAGAAGUGCGAAUGCUGACAUAAGUAACGAUAAAGCGGGUGAAAAGCCCGCUCGCCGGAAGACCAAGGGUUCCUGUCCAACGUUAAUCGGGGCAGGGUGAGUCGACCCCUAAGGCGAGGCCGAAAGGCGUAGUCGAUGGGAAACGGGUUAAUAUUCCCGUACUUGGUGUUACUGCGAAGGGGGGACGGAGAAGGCUAUGUUGGCCGGGCGACGGUU
This 599-nucleotide ribosomal RNA is filed under the name Salmonella enterica subsp. enterica. RNAcentral's name for it is "partial 23S ribosomal RNA". It matches the Rfam family "Bacterial large subunit ribosomal RNA", at positions 903 to 1503 of the family's 2925-position model. Lineage: Bacteria; Pseudomonadati; Pseudomonadota; Gammaproteobacteria; Enterobacterales; Enterobacteriaceae. The record is from RNAcentral.